AAAACUUUCAACAACGGAUCUCUUGGUUCUGGCAUCGAUGAAGAACGCAGCGAAAUGCGAUAAGUAAUGUGAAUUGCAGAAUUCAGUGAAUCAUCGAAUCUUUGAACGCACAUUGCGCCCGCCAGUAUUCUGGCGGGCAUGCCUGUUCGAGCGUCAUUUCAACCCCUCAAGCCCCGCUUGGUGCUGGGG
This 189-nucleotide ribosomal RNA is filed under the name Pseudovalsaria ferruginea. RNAcentral's name for it is "5.8S ribosomal RNA". The stretch from base 3 to 156 matches the Rfam family "5.8S ribosomal RNA". From Rfam's summary of the family: 5.8S ribosomal RNA (5.8S rRNA) is a component of the large subunit of the eukaryotic ribosome. It is transcribed by RNA polymerase I as part of the 45S precursor that also contains 18S and 28S rRNA. Functionally, it is thought that 5.8S rRNA may be involved in ribosome translocation. The record is from RNAcentral. Lineage: Eukaryota; Fungi; Ascomycota; Sordariomycetes; Boliniales; Boliniaceae.